This 175-nucleotide antisense RNA is filed under the name Gloeocapsa sp. PCC 73106. RNAcentral's name for it is "Antisense RNA which regulates isiA expression". It matches the Rfam family "Antisense RNA which regulates isiA expression". Lineage: Bacteria; Bacillati; Cyanobacteriota; Cyanophyceae; Chroococcidiopsidales; Chroococcidiopsidaceae. The record is from Rfam by way of RNAcentral.
GAUAGCCAAAAAUACGCACAGGAUCUAAGUUGGGUUGAACUAGACGCACUUGCUCUACAACAGGGUCAUAUAAUCCUCCCCAUUGAACCGCUUUUAAAACCAAGAGACUAGAUCCUAUUCCCAGUAAGAUCAGAUGAAUGCCCAGAAUACUAGUCAUUUUCUUACCAUCAGUCCA